AAAUUAAACAGUAACAAGCUCACUGGUGCUCUACCGAUAGAGGUCAUUGGACUCGUUGGUUUUCGCAAGUUGGCAAUUUUGGACGUCUCAAACAAUCUGCUGGCAGGGACUGUACAUCGCAGCAAUUCAACAGGUUUUGUAGUUACGAAAAUAAUACAAGAUCCAAGAGCUCAGAACUAAACCAGAAGAAGAAGAAGAAGCUUAUCAAAUAAAAAUGAGAAUCCUAAAGCCCAGAAAACCUGAAUAUAUGUUGUAUAGUUGUACAUGUAAGCUUUAUGCAUACAUGUAAGCUUAUAUAUUGUUCUUUUGAUUUUGAUUUCGCACUUAGAAAUAGUUUCUCUUACUCUGUAAACUUGGAAUGUGACCAGCAA
Molecule: long non-coding RNA, 371 nt
Organism: Rosa rugosa (rugosa rose)
Lineage: Eukaryota; Viridiplantae; Streptophyta; Magnoliopsida; Rosales; Rosaceae
Exons: 3
Source: RefSeq, a predicted model, not a curated record